Molecule: transfer RNA, 65 nt
Filed under: Tessaromerus quadriarticulatus
Lineage: Eukaryota; Metazoa; Arthropoda; Insecta; Hemiptera; Urostylididae
Description: tRNA-Trp
Source: RNAcentral
AAAGUUUUAAGUUAAAUUAAACUAUUAACCUUCAAAGUUAAAAAUAUAUAUAUAUAUAAACUUUA